This 460-nucleotide ribosomal RNA is filed under the name uncultured bacterium. RNAcentral's name for it is "partial 16S ribosomal RNA". It matches the Rfam family "Bacterial small subunit ribosomal RNA", at positions 338 to 795 of the family's 1533-position model. The record is from RNAcentral.
CCUACGGGUGGCUGCAGUGAGGAAUAUUGGUCAAUGGCCGUAAGGCUGAACCAGCCAAGUCGCGUGCAGGAAGAAGGAUCUAUGGUUUGUAAACUUCUUUUAUAGGGGAAUAAAGGUAUCCACGUGUGGAUAUUUGCAUGUACCCUAUGAAUAAGCACCGGAUAAAUCCGUGCCAGCAGCCGCGGUAAUACGGAGGUUGCGAGCGUUAUCCGGAUUUAUUGGGGUUAAAGGGAGCGUAGGUUGUUUUUUCAGUUAGCGGUGAAAGUUUGGGGCUCAACCAUAGAAGUGCCGUUUAAACUGGAAGGCUUGAGUAUGUUUGAGGUAGGCGGAAUGCGUGGUGUAGCGGUGAAAUGCGUAGAGAUCACGAAGAACUCCGAUUGCGAAGGCAGCUUACUGAGCCAGAACUGACGCUGAAGCACGAAAGCGUGGGGAUCAAACAGGAUUAGAUACCCCUGUAGUC